RNAcentral lists this ribosomal RNA (508 nucleotides) under uncultured bacterium. Its description in RNAcentral is "partial 16S ribosomal RNA". It matches the Rfam family "Bacterial small subunit ribosomal RNA", at positions 28 to 523 of the family's 1533-position model. The record is from RNAcentral.
GAUGAACGCUAGCUACAGGCUUAACACAUGCAAGUCGAGGGGAAACGAUAUUGGAAGCUUGCUUCCGAUAGGCGUCGACCGGCGCACGGGUGAGUAACGCGUAUCCAACCUGCCCACCACUUGGGGAUAACCUUGCGAAAGUAAGACUAAUACCCAAUGAUAUCUCUAGAAGACAUCUGAAGGAGAUUAAAGAUUCAUCGGUGAUGGAUGGGGAUACGUCUGAUUAGCUUGUUGGCGGGGUAACGGCCCACCAAGGCGACGAUCAGUAGGGGUUCUGAGGGGAAGGUCCCCCACAUUGGAACUGAGACACGGUCCAAACUCCUACGGGAGGCAGCAGUGAGGAAUAUUGGUCAAUGGGCGAGAGCCUGAACCAGCCAAGUAGCGUGCAGGAUGACGGCCCUAUGGGUUGUAAACUGCUUUUAUAAGGGAAUAAAGUGAGUCUCGUGAGACUUUUUGCAUGUACCUUAUGAAUAAGGACCGGCUAAUUCCGUGCCAGCCGCCGCCGUAA